AUUGAACGCUGGCGGCAGGCCUAACACAUGCAAGUCGGGCGAGAGGCGGACGGGUGAGUAAUGUAUGAGCAUGUGCCUGAUGGAAGGGUCUAACUACUGUAAACGGUAGCUACUACCGCAUACCCUCCGUUGAACCCAUAUUGGAUUAGCUUGUAGGUAAGGUAACGGCUUACCUAGGCGACGCGCCCUAGCUGGUCUGAGAGGAUGAUCGGCCACACUGUGACUGAGACACGGCCCAGACUCCUACGGGAGGCAGCAGUGGGGAAUAUUGCACAAUGGGCGAAAGCCUGAUGCAGCCAUGCCGCGUGUAUGAAGAAGGCCUUCGGGUUGUAAAGUACUUUCAGUCGGGAGGCGUUACCGACAGAAGAAGCACCGGCUAACUCCGUGCCAGCAGCCGCGGUAAUUC
This 406-nucleotide ribosomal RNA is filed under the name uncultured bacterium. RNAcentral describes it as "partial 16S ribosomal RNA". It matches the Rfam family "Bacterial small subunit ribosomal RNA", at positions 30 to 526 of the family's 1533-position model. The record is from RNAcentral.